RNAcentral lists this transfer RNA (75 nucleotides) under bacterium. RNAcentral's name for it is "tRNA-Thr". It matches the Rfam family "tRNA". Rfam says of the family: Transfer RNA (tRNA) molecules are approximately 80 nucleotides in length. Their secondary structure includes four short double-helical elements and three loops (D, anti-codon, and T loops). The record is from RNAcentral. RNAcentral also lists the same sequence under 1 other name.
GUCAGGGUGGCGCAGAGGUAGCGUGCGGGACACGUAACUGUCUCGGGGUCACAGGUUCGAAUCCUGUCCUUGACU